GCCUGGGUGGCUUAAUUGGUUAAGCGUCUGACUUUGGCACAGGUCAUGAUCUCAGUUUGUGGGUUCGAACCCCACACUGGGCU
This 83-nucleotide transfer RNA is filed under the name Felis catus (domestic cat). It matches the Rfam family "tRNA". From Rfam's summary of the family: Transfer RNA (tRNA) molecules are approximately 80 nucleotides in length. Their secondary structure includes four short double-helical elements and three loops (D, anti-codon, and T loops). Lineage: Eukaryota; Metazoa; Chordata; Mammalia; Carnivora; Felidae. The record is from Rfam by way of RNAcentral. RNAcentral also lists the same sequence under 5 other names.